AAAUUUCCAUUGGAGUAACUAUAUAAUAGCAAGUUUAUUUACACACGCGUGCGCGCACAUUCGCACAAAGCCACGAUGACAAACUCUCGAAUCAUCAUCACAUGAAUAAACAUCAAAACAAAACAAACGUAGAUAUAAAGAGAAAGACUUUAAGUUUGGAGCGCAUUUCACUGCGUGCUCUGCUCGUGCGCCUGCGUGUAUGUGUGGCUAAAGCUUAUAUAAUGUUUGGCAAACAUUCAGAGUCGUCAAAGAAGUAACGUCACUGUUUUGCCAAGUCAUUCGAAAAAAGAAAAGCCGGAAAAGAGAAUCGACGGGAACCGAAACGCGAGUCCUCGAAAAGCUUUGAGAUAGAUGCGCACACAUACACACGGACGGAUAGUAUAACCUUACUCACAACUCACCGAGGGUAAGAACGACUGCUACCUCUCUGCAUCCCGCUAUGGUAUUCUUCCUAUUCUAAUUCUAUGUUAACUUUCAAAUACUGCACAAUUAACAAAAAAGUUUCAUGAGUGUAAAGAGGAGUUAUGUAAAGACCAGAUGAUAAGUUUGAAGUAAUUCAUAGUUUUUAAAUAAUUCACGACUCAAAUAAACCGACGUACCAUCACACUUGUAUAACUAAGAAAGAGAAAGAUUUGAUAAACGGAAAAAUCAUAACUGAAAAAGAAAUAGAAAUUCUUAAAAAGCACAUUUCAAAACAACUCAGCAAUCUGUUUAAGGCAGUAUGUAUCGAGUGCAUCGAUAAAGCUAAUCAAUUAUACAACAAAUAUACAUUUGGUGCCGUUUAAAAGUGCCUUGGUAAAAAAACAUGAAAUUGUCUAGUAAUAAUAAUAACUAUGGAAUAGGUUUCACUUCGUUUUAGUAUUUAUGUUGCACCUCUGAAUACUAUUUUCUUUUAAAAUUCUUUAUCUGCA
Long non-coding RNA from Phymastichus coffea, 911 nucleotides. RefSeq lists it as uncharacterized. The record is from RefSeq and is a predicted model, not a curated record. Lineage: Eukaryota; Metazoa; Arthropoda; Insecta; Hymenoptera; Eulophidae. The transcript has 4 exons.